UCACCAAUCUACUAGGCUUUGAAUUUCAUGGUUAAUGUUUUGUUUAAAGUGCAUACAAGCAUGAUUCCGCCUUUUAAUUGUUUAUUGCAUGCUAUAGAUGUUGCUUAAAUGAACAUGUUUUCACAAAAUUAUCCUUCAAGUGGUAUCAGAGCCUAGGUCUAGUAGUUGGUGAAUCCUUUUGGGUUUUGUAUUAUCAUAGUUUAUGAUUUGAAUGUUGUAAUUGUUACAAGCUUUAUUCUUGCUUCUUUGAAUGUAAAUUUUGUUAGAAAAUUUGCCAUCUCAAGUUGUAGAUGUAGUUCAUAUGAGCAUGAAUAUUGGAGCUAAAAUUUGGUGCAAUGUUUUUGGGAAAAUUCGGCCAAAUCCAAAGGGUGGAUUUUUGGGUUCUUGUUUGACUUGUUAAAAGUGUUUUCAAGUAACUUUUGGAACCCCUAUGUACCCUAGUUUGGUUAUAUGUUAUUUCCCUUAAGUUUGAUUGGUUUUGGGAUGUUUUUGGGUGAAAAAUGUUCAUGGAAUUUUUUUGAGUUUUUCAUGAGUGUUAGAUAUUUAAAGUUUUGAAGUAAAUGUUUGGUGUUUUCAUGGAAAUGUUUGGUGUUUUCAAGUAACUUUACACCUUUCUAAAGUUUUGAGUUUUUGCCAAGAACAAAAAGUUUGGUGUUUUGAUUCAAAGUUUUGAUUUAUUUCAUAAAGUUUUUGUUUUAUGAUUUAUCUUAUAUUUAAAUGUGUUAGAUAUUUAUUUAGAAAGGUGUAAGAAAUAUUGGUGGGUGUGUAAGGAUUAAUUCCCUUUCACACACACCACUUGCAUGACAUUUAUGUCAUGCACCACUUGCAUGCUUUAUGUCAAAGCUUCAAAAAUCAACUCACACACCAUCACUCACUUCUCUAAAACCGGCCACUCCCUCAAUGGGAGUACUUUUGGGGCUUUUAUGCAAUUACAUAAAGUUUUGAUAUUUUUGUGUAAUUUGCACUUUGGCCCAAAAGUUUACGUUUUUACGUUUAGGUCCAAAAACGCUAAAGGAAAAAUUGUUUUGCUCCUUUAAUGAAGUUUUUGUAUUUGUUGAAAUUUUUGGGUUCUAGUUGUAAUUACAUGAAGUAGUGAACUUUUGUGUUUUUACAAAGUGACCCCAAAAGUUUAUGUUUUUGCAAUAUAGCCCAAAAGUUGAGGUUAUUGCAUUUUGGCCCAAAUUAAGUUGAGAACAAAAUUGUUUUGUCUCUUUAAAUGAGAAUUGGAUUUUCAUUUCAUUUAGCUCCAUUUAAAUCAAUUUUAUGGAUACAAAAACCAAAUGAAAAUGUUGCAUUCAAUUUAAUUAGUUAAAGCGUUAAUUGAUUAAAGGGUGAUUAUGAACCUAAGCCUACGAUAAUUGAGCUAUGUGAAAGGCCGUUCCAAAUUUGUUUGAACCAUGGGAAUGUGUAGAUUAGAUUUUGGUUGUAAUUUGAUUUGAUCAAAUGUUGUAAAAGAGCAUAAACUCUUCUUUACUUUAAAGUAAUUUGUUUUGAUCAAUUGUUGUAAAAGAGCAUAAGCUCUUCUUUACUUUAAAGUACUCAUUUUCUUGUUUUAUUUGAUAUGCAUGAAAAUGGAGUAGAGGGUCCAACGCCCCUAAGAAAACACGCCUUAAUGUGAUUAAACGCGUAACUAAAAUCAAUCACCUUCCCUAGACCGAGAUUCAACACUAGGCUCGUGUUGAAUCUAAACAAAGGUUCAUAGUCAUCCUAAAGCCCUAAGGCAACUAUAUAGUCCAUCAAAUGAAUGAAAAGUUUAUGUUAGUAGUAUCAUAUACUCUUGCUUUAAAAACCGUUUUAUAAGCAUAGUGGGAGUAUUAUAUACAACUAAAUUCAAUCAAAUGGACCAAUAGUUGUAAUAGGACCAAAAUUGUUUUAAUAAAGAUUAAAAUGAAUAUUUAUAUGUGAUGAGACCUAAAAACCCUCAACCAAACCAUUAUUAAGUUGAUAAGCGUGAGAGUGCUUUGAACACUUUUUUGUGGCCUUCCACCGUGGUAGGCUCCAAUCGUUUAUGACUUGUACACCGCCUUCACCCUAUCAUGGGGGAGUGCAAAGUGCAUGCUUAUACUCAAGAGGAGUUUAUUUAAAACAUUUGAUGAGGUUAAGGUAGGCAACGAGUGUGGCCAACAUCAUAUCAUCGUGAGGUCAUACUUAAACCCCUAUCUAAACCGGCAUGGUUGGAAAGAACUUAACUAAGAGAAAUGAUGCCAACAUCGUAUCAUCGUGAGGCAUUGUUUUCUAGAGGCCAAAAAGAUGGGUAAUCACAAGAGGUUGUUGUGAAUGAGUAAGCGUACUCUCAUUAUUAUUAAUGCUAGCCAACAUCAUAUCAUUGUGAGGUGGGCUUGGUAGUAAUGAGUCUCCCAUACCCUACUAAGAGUUACCUCCAAAACUCUCGAAUUCCAAUGAGGGAUAUGGAAUUUGCCAAAAAUAUGAAGGGAAAUCUAUGAGAUUCAUGUAUGGGAUUUCUAAAUGACUAUCAUGCAUAUCCAAAAC
This 2490-nucleotide long non-coding RNA is filed under the name Malus domestica (apple). RNAcentral describes it as "long non-coding RNA (MDOM_LNC008413)". Lineage: Eukaryota; Viridiplantae; Streptophyta; Magnoliopsida; Rosales; Rosaceae. The record is from RNAcentral.